This 74-nucleotide transfer RNA is filed under the name Pseudofulvimonas gallinarii. It matches the Rfam family "tRNA". Rfam says of the family: Transfer RNA (tRNA) molecules are approximately 80 nucleotides in length. Their secondary structure includes four short double-helical elements and three loops (D, anti-codon, and T loops). The record is from Rfam by way of RNAcentral. Lineage: Bacteria; Pseudomonadati; Pseudomonadota; Gammaproteobacteria; Lysobacterales; Rhodanobacteraceae.
GCGCCCGUAGCUCAACAGGAUAGAGCACCGGCCUUCUAAGCCGGUGGUUGCAGGUUCGAUUCCUGCCGGGCGCG